CUUGUACAACUGUCGGCCAUGAUGCCGCAUAGCAUAUUUAAUAAUCAUUUAUUAUGAUGCUCUUGUCAAGAUGUGCUGCACAUCAUUAUUUUAUUACCUACAAUGACAGUGUUUCUCAUAUCAGAUGAACGCUUUGUCUUUCAUUUCAUUUAGUUAAUCUGUAAUGUUGUCUGUAAUUAUUGAUUUGAAUGAAUCCAUAUUGUCUGUUGUGUUCGAUGUCACUGACACCAUUGAAUUGAGCUACUCACCAUGUUGUACUGACAACAGUGCUUCUCCGGGAUCGGGUCGCGGCGGCAGCAGCUUCAGCAGGUCACCCCAAACAAUUGCUCAGCACCAUCCUCGAAAAUGAAACAGGGGACUGGACCUGCAUAUGGAAGAACAAUGAUGACUGGUUACUUGGCCUCAAAAGGAAUCAGAGCAUCAGAGGGGCGUGUUGGUCGUGCCCUCAGACAUAUUGACCAGCCAUACCCCGCAGAUCGGUGUAAUAGAUCAAGGAACUUAAAUCCAGUGCCAUAUAGUGCAGAGUAUGUGGGUCACAAAUUGCACCCCGACCAAAAUGAGAAACUGCUGAUGUUUGGGGUGACCCAUGGCCACUCCACCAUGCCAGUGAAAAACAACCUGACCAUUUAUCAAGAGGUUUACUGAAUCAUUCAGUAGAAAGGAAGUGGCCAGAAGUAAACAACAGGCUAAACUAUCCACUGAAAGGGGCGCUCGUCCACCCAGUCGACCAGGAGGAGCUCAACCUUGACGACAACAGGACACGAUGUUGCGUGUCCACUCUGACCUGGACGUGACCGGAUGGUGCAGUCUUGGAAUGCACACAGGAUCCAAGGCAAGGGUAUCCCAAACCAACUGGCUCUGGGUGGAUGCCCAAAGAAACUGCCUGCAGAUCUUUCGCCAGAGGCUGCAGAGGCUGCAGACUGCUACAACCUUGGAGUGGGGUCCGCUCUGACACGAGUGUCAAUGUUUGGGAGAAACCCAUUUUCAGCAGUGGAGCACCAGGCAGCAGCUGAGAUGAAUUUGCACUGCACUAUUCAGACAUUUCUGAACUCUUUGACCGUGCAGUCAAUAAUGACCCAAGGCACUUCCAAGGUGGGAUAAAGGACCUAAUAGACAUUGUAAGAAGACAGGUCGCUGGACUGUCUGCAGCACUGGCAUUGCUAAAGUCCAUCCCGUAAAAUUGACUGAUCAAUCAAUAGCAGUCAAAAACAAUGUGUCCUAUACUAUAUAUAUAACUAUAUAGUUAUAUAUAUAUAACUACAUUUUCUGUGUUCAAAAUAAAUUCAAAACAGUU
Long non-coding RNA from Scophthalmus maximus (turbot), 1294 nucleotides. RefSeq lists it as uncharacterized. The transcript has 5 exons. The record is from RefSeq and is a predicted model, not a curated record. Lineage: Eukaryota; Metazoa; Chordata; Actinopteri; Pleuronectiformes; Scophthalmidae.